UAUUUAAUUAUCUUAAAAGUUAUGGUGAAAAUUUAAUAUGUUCAAAGAGGAUUUAAUUAACACUUAUCAAUUCUGAACGAGAUUUACUAGAAACUUCUUACUUUUGCUAAUAGGCUUCUUAUUAAUUUACUCUAUGUAUAUUACACAAUCUCCAAUAGUCUUGAAUUUGUUAAUCUCGUUUUUCUAUUAUUAUUAAUUACACCGACAAGCUUCUCAGUAUUCCAUCAUCUUUCUUUCUUUGUUUUCUCAACUUUUUAGCUCUUUCAAGAACAUUUUCCUUCGCUUUAUAUUCUUUUGUUUAUUACAAGCUUCUUCAUCCCUUUUCUCAAUUUAAAUGGUGAUUCUAGUGAGAUUUUUACAGCUCCCUUCUCCCUUCAAACGUGAUUUCUCAACCCUUAUACCUUCCUUUUCUAUUUGAGAAGAAAAAACAAUGUUCUUUUAGUUAUUCUUGUCAUCUUGAGAGAAAAUAAUGCUCUUUAUGUAACGACCCCAAAAUGGACCGUCACCGGCGCUAGGAUUCAGGUCAGCUUAAGGCCGCCAGAACGCGUAGCAAGCCUGCUAUACUCUCUGUGUACUUGUCAUACUCAUACAUGAUCAUACAUUUUCUGUGAAAAUAAAAACUCUUUGCUGAACCAAGACUUAACCUGUGCAUGCACUAUCUCUGUACUCUGUACUCUGUACUCUGUACCCCUGACUAGAGCUUGCUCUAGAUGGGUAAUUCAUACCUGUUAAGCCUGGUUUUUCACAUACAAGAAAACAACUAUACAUAUACAGAUCAUGGACAACAUAAACAUCACUAAGUCAAGCACAUUUCUAACUUUAUACACAACUAUUACAUCUCUUUCAAAUUACAUGUCCACUCUACACUAUUACAAUUCUCUUUACUCUUUUUGGUACUCUGCUGAUCUCCUCUCUAUACUGUACACUGAACCUGCAAAACUGGGGUUAAAGGAGUGGGAUGAGCUCUAUAGCCCAGUGAGUAGAACAGUAAAACAUCUCAUUAAAAUAUGAACUCAUGGAAUGCGUCAUAACACAGACAAUCCACAUCAAGAGUAAACCUGUCACCACAUAGUCCCAGUAACUCUGUGCCAGGGCGUAGAAUCAAGCACCUGGUCUUCCUGUCAUAUAUGUAUAUGUGUAUAUAACACCUAUGUACUUACCAUUGCCAGGGCGUAGUCAAAGGUUCCUGGACUUUGCUAUACCUGCCAGGGCGUAGUCAAAGGCUCCUGGACUUCUCUAUACCUGCCAGGGCGUAGUCAAAGGCUCCUGGACUUCCUGUCUGUGACUAUUGGAUCAUUCAACAUUUACCCACAUCAACAAAUAACUAUGCAAUGCAGCAUAUUCGUGGAUUCUAAUGCAAACAACCUACUGUAUACUCAUGAUGCAUGAACUAUGCUAAAAGCAUUGUAGUUCUCAAUUAAAAACAUUAAGUUUAGUUCCACUCACCUCUGGCUCUNNNNNNNNNNNNNNNNNNNNNNNNNNNNNNNNNNNNNNNNNNNNNNNNNNNNNNNNNNNNNNNNNNNNNNNNNNNNNNNNNNNNNNNNNNNNNNNNNNNNNNNNNNNNNNNNNNNNNNNNNNNNNNNNNNNNNNNNNNNNNNNNNNNNNNNNNNNNNNNNNNNNNNNNNNNNNNNNNNNNNNNNNNNNNNNNNNNNNNNNNNNNNNNNNNNNNNNNNNNNNNNNNNNNNNNNNNNNNNNNNNNNNNNNNNNNNNNNNNNNNNNAACAUAUUCGUGGAUACUAAUGCAAUCAACCUAUGGCAGAAUUAUGAUGCAUGAGAUAUGCUAAACCAUUCAAUUGUGCAAGUAAAAGAGUUAAGUUUAAUUCCACUCACCUCUGGCUAUCUGGACUGACUGACUCUACAGGCUCUGUAAACUCUGGAGCAGUACUCACUGCUGCUCUCUCUAGUUCCUCUGGUCUGUACCUAUACAGAUAGACUCAUAUGAGGGACCAAACUCGCUUAUGCAUACAUCUAUUCAACUCCCCAAAAAAUCCCCUUAAACUCACUCUACCAUCCAUGUCUAAGCAUACAAAGGAAAACUGGACAGAACACUUUCGGCGGCAGGUUCGGCGGCCGAAAGUCCUCUCCAGCGACGAAACUCAAGCACCUUCGGCGGCCGAACUUCCACUUUCGGCUGCCGAACCCUUUCGGGGGCACGUUUCGGAGGCCAAAAGGCACUCCAGAGACGAAAGUCUCUAACCUUCGGCGGCACCUUCGGCGGCCGAACUUCCCUCCAAAGCCGAAAGUCCAAAAGCUCGGGGGCAAGCUUGGGCAGCCGAAGCCACCUCCUCACACCUCCUCAGGGGUUCGGCGGCCGAAUGUACCUUCGGCUGCCGAACCUGAGUUCAUCAGCAGGGUAGAAACUUGCCCUGCCUCUCGCCAAAUGCACCAAACUCCUCUCCAACUUCACACCACACUUCCUCCACCUGCAUACACUUAUGUAUAUGCUCAAAGGGGUCAACAACUACCUAAAAACCCCAAACACACAACACAAACAACACAGAAACAAGCUCUAUGCACAAAAUCAUCAAAACCUCUCAAAUAACCCUAUUCAUGCAACUCUCUCCAUAAACCCCAUAAAACCUUCAGAAAACAUAAAAACAAGUUUAGGAUCUUUCCUUACCUCUUGAAACCAAGUAGAUGAAGGAUCCUAACGUGGAGUUUUGGAGCAACUUGCCUUCAAACUCUCCAAACUUCACAACUUUGAGUUUUGACCUUAAAACCUUCAAAUAACCAUGAAAACUAAUCAAAUCUUUGCAUGAUUUAAUGAAAACAUGAAGAAAUACUCACAAAGGACAGAGUUUCACCUCAGCAAGUGAAAGAAACGGUGCUCUACCGCUUCAACCGACUGAGGGCCAUUUAUAGGUGGCUGGCCAGACCACCUUCGGCGGCCAAACGUGAAACCGAAAGCCAUGCAUGUUCGGCGGCCGAACCUCAACUUCGGCGGCCGAACCUGGCUUUUCUGCCUUGGUUCAUUUCAUUAAAAAAAAACUCAUUGUCUUAUGCUUAAAACUUAAUGACCAUAUCAAAACAUUUAAAAACAAACAUAAAUCAAACCCUUCUAGAAACGUCCGACAUCCAACACUCCAUCGGGAAAGUAGAAUUCCGAUGCCGGACUCUAGCCGGGUAUUACAUUCUCCCCCCCUUAAGAACAUUCGUCCUCGAAUGUUCCUAAAACAAACAACGAACACAUAAUAAAAGGAGGAAACUAACCUCAAAACAAAUAUGGAUACUGCUGAAGUAUAGACUCCCGCGUCUCCCAUGUACACUCUUCUAGAUUAUGGUGGUUCCACAGAACUUUCACCAUUGGGAUCUCCUUGUUCCUUAGCUGUCUGAUCUGUGUGUCCAGAAUCCGCACUGGCUGCUCUAUAUAGGUGAGAUCUGUAAGAAUCUCCACCUCAGGCUCACUCAGAACCUGAUUCGGAUCUGACACAAACUGCCGGAGCAUAGAAACAUGAAAUACCGGGUGAAUUCUCUCCAUAGAGGCAGGUAAAUCCAGCUUAGACGACACAUUCCCGAUCCUCUGCAAAAUCUCAAAGGGUCCUAUGUAUCGUGGAGCUAACUUACCUUUCUGCCCAAAACGAACCACGCCUUUCAUUGGAGACACUUUUAGCAAUACCCAAUUACCCUCCUGGAACUCUAACUGUUUUCUGCGCACGUCUGCAUAACUUUUCUGUCUGCUCUGAGCUGUUCUGAUUCUCUCUCUGAUCAUAGGCACCACUCUACUGAUAAUCUCUAUCAAUUCUGGCCCUGCAAGAGCCUUUUCUCCUACCUCUUCCCAGCAAACAGGUGAUCUGCACUUCCUCCCAUAUAAGGCGUCAUAAGGAGCCAUUCCUAUGCUAGCAUGAUGGCUGUUAUUGUAGGCAAACUCUACCAAAGGUAGAUGCUGCCGCCAAGAACCGCCAAAGUCUAAUACACACAAUCGAAGCAUAUCUUCUAUGGUCUGAAUGGUCCUUUCUGACUGUCCAUCAGUCUGUGGGUGGAAAGCAAUGCUAAAAUCCAAUCUCGUGCCCAUCGCACUCUGCAGACUUCGCCAAAAUCUAGAAGUAAACUGAGGUCCUCUAUCUGAGACUAUAGACACUGGGACUCCAUGUAGUCUCACUAUCUCAUCCAGAUAGACCUGAACCAACUUAUCCACAGAAUAGUUACUCCGAACUGGAAGAAAAUGAGCAGAUUUCGUGAGUCUGUCCACAAUCACCCAUAUAGAGUCUAUCCUGUUGGACGCUGCUGGUAAACCCACAACAAAAUCCAUAGCGAUGUUCUCCCAUUUCCACUCUGGAAUCGGCAAUGGGUUAAGCAUUCCGGCUGGUUUCUGAUGCUCUAGUUUCACCCUCUGGCAAACUUCACAGGCUGUCACAAACUGCGCCACGUCUUUCUUCAUGGCUGGCCACCAAUAAACUCUUUUGAGAUCCUGAUACAUCUUGGUGGCUCCUGGGUGAACACUAUACCUCGCAUUAUGAGCUUCUCUCAUAAUGUCUGCCUUCACAUUGCUACUAUCUGGUACAUAAAGUCGACUCCCACAGCGAAGGAUCCCUUUGCUGUCAAAUCUGAACUCUGCACUGUUGCCUGACUGAACAGUCCUGGCAAUUUUCAUCAAUUCUGGGUCCUCGUGUUGUCUCUGAGCUAUCUGCUCCAGAAACACAGGUGUCACUCUCAUCUGUGCUAUCAACGCACCUGUACCAGACAACUCUAGCUGUAACCCCUCUUCUAAGAGCUUGUAAAGCUCCUUCACAACCGGUCUCCGCUCUGCUGCUAUAUGGGAUAAACUGCCUAGUGACUUCCGGCUUAGAGCGUCUGCCACAACAUUCGCCUUACCCGGAUGAUACUGGAUCUUACAAUCAUAAUCACUGAGCAAUUCUACCCAUCUUCUCUGCCUCAAAUUCAGCUCUCUCUGACUCAAGAUGUACUGUAAACUCUUGUGAUCGGUGAAGAUCGCGCAUUUAACCCCGUAGAGGUAAUGCCGCCACAUCUUAAGUGCAAAGAUAACUGCUGCCAUCUCAAGGUCAUGGGUGGGGUAAUUCAACUCGUGCUUCUUUAACUGUCUAGAAGCAUAAGCUAUCACCCUAUCACUCUGCAUCAAAACACAGCCCAAUCCCACGCGAGAUGCAUCACAGAACACUGUGAAAUCCUCAUUACUGACAGGCAAAGCUAACACUGGUGCUGUUGUCAAUCUCUUCUUGAGCUCCUCAAAGCUUUCUUCACACUGGUCUGACCAGACAAACUUCUGGUUCUUCUGGGUUAGUUUGGUCAUAGGAGCCGCUAUCUUUGAGAAGUCCUGAACGAACCUCCUGUAGUAACCUGCCAGUCCCAGAAAGCUUUUAAUCUCAGUUACUGUCGUGGGUCUGGGCCAGUUAGCUACAACCUCUAUCUUCUUGGGGUCUACCUCAAUACCCUCUGCUGAUACCACAUGUCCCAAGAAGGAAAUGCUCCUCAACCAAAACUCACACUUUGAGAACUUGGCAUACAAACCAUGCUCUCUCAGUGUAUGCAGAACUAUCCUCAGAUGCUGGGCAUGCUCCUCUGCAUUUCUGGAAUACACUAAAAUAUCAUCGAUGAAAACAAUGACAAAGUGAUCCAGAAACUCACUGAAAACUCUGUUCAUGAGAUCCAUGAAUGCUGCAGGGGCGUUAGUCAACCCGAACGGCAUCACUAAGAACUCAUAAUGCCCAUAUCUGGUCCUGAAAGCUGUCUUAGGCACAUCUGUCUCUCUAACUCUUAACUGAUGAUACCCGGAUCUCAGAUCUAUUUUCGAGAAACAACCUGCUCCAGCUAGCUGGUCAAAUAGAUCAUCAAUCCUAGGUAGAGGAUACCUAUUCUUGGUAGUGACCUUGUUCAACUGUCUGUAGUCGAUACAAAGUCUGAGGGAUCCAUCCUUCUUUCUAACAAAGAGCACUGGAGCACCCCAAGGUGAGGUACUAGGGCGGAUGAAACCUUUAUCUACCAAGUCCUGUAACUGCGUUUUUAACUCUUUUAACUCUGCUGGCGCCAUCCGGUAGGGAGGAAUAGAGAUAGGUCUGGUAUCAGGUAGCAAUUCUAUUUCAAACUCUAUCUCCCUACCAGGUGGUAGUCCUGGAAGUUCGUCUGGAAACACAUCGAGAAACUCUCGGACUACUGGUACUGUGGCUGGUUCCCUAACCUGACUGGCUAGCUCUCUCACAUGAGCUAGAAACCCCUGACAACCCCUCCUAAGCAAACGACGAGCCUGAAGGGCUGAAAUCAAACCUCUGGGUGUACCUCUCCUGUCUCCUCUGAAGAUACAUUCUGAUCCAUCCUGGUCUCGAAGACUAACUAUCUUCUCUCUACAGUCCAAAGUAGCACUAUAUGCAGAUAGCCAAUCCAUCCCUAGAAUGACAUCAAAAUCUGUCAAGUCUAGAACCACAAGGUCAGCUGGAAGGCAUCUACCCUCUAUGAACACUGGACUGAAACGACAAACUGACACUGCCACUGAUGGAUCACAUUUAGGUCCACUGACCCAGAGAGGAUACUUUAACUCAGACCUGAUCAAACCCAACCUCUCUAUGGCUCUCGAAGCAAUAAAGGAAUGAGAAGCACCGGGGUCCAUCAAAGCAUACACAUCUGAACACCCAAUGAUGAGAUUACCUGACACCACUGUGUUCGACGUGUUCGCCUCCUCCUGUGUCACUGUGAAAAUCCGUGCUGGGGCUACCGGAUUUCCACCUCGGGAACCUGCUGCUGAAGUAGAGGCUGCCCCUCUCCCUCUACCUCUGCCACUACUCUGAGGCAUGACUGGAGCUGCUGGCCGUACAACUGGCUGUACUACACUGCCUGAACUCAUCUGCUGGGAUGGUGCAAACGUCACCUGAGGACAAUCCCGAGCAAUAUGCCCUUCCUGUCCACAUUUAAAACAAGCUGUAGAUCCCAACCGACAAACUCCGCCAUGUGGUUUUCCGCAUCUUCUGCAGACUGGAGCUGUGCCAGAGCUUGAGCCACUACCUAUUCCCAGACCUAACUUAACUUUACUCCAGAACUUACUCUUUGUUCCUUUUGCUCUAUCCCAUCUCUUGCUGCCUGAACUGGGGGCCUUAGAACCCGAAGCUUGUGCCUUUGAUUGUUUCUGAAUAUUGGCACUAGCUUCCCUUUUCCUGGCUGCAUCUACUAUCGUGUGAAAACUCUCCUUUUCUGCUGGAAGAAUCAAGGAAGAAUACCUGGGAUGCAAUCUCAUAGUAUAUCUCCUUGCCUUCUUCUGAUCAGUAUCAUAGACUUGACCCACAUACUGAAGCAAAUCCAGGAACUUAUCUGUGAAUUCAUCAACACUCAUUUCAUCUGUCUGUCUCAACUGUUCGAACUCUAUUACUUUCAUCUCCCUGGAGCUGUCAGGAAAAGCCCACCCUGCAAAUUCAUUGGCGAACUCUCCCCAGGACAUGCUGUUCAUCCUAGGCUCCACAUAAUUCUUGAACCAUUCUCUGGCCUUCUUACAUUUAAGUGUAAACCCUGCCAUCUCAAUGGCUCUCCUAUCAUCUGCUCCCAAUUCACUGGUUAUCAUCCUAACUGCUCUGAGGUAAUCAAAUGGAUCAUCUCCCGUAUUGUAUUUAGGAGCAUCCAAUUUCAAGUACUCCGUCAUUUGCACUUUACCUCCAGAUGAGCUAGGUUGAUGUCUGUCAACAACAGGGGCUACUGGUUCUGGUGGUGGUGGUACUGGGUCAUUUAGCUCUGGGUGUGCUGCACUUGGAUGGGUAGGGGAGGGUGGAUACAUAGGAUAUGGUGGGUAAUAAGGAGGAUAAGGCAUAUAUGGCAUAUAAGGAGGAUAUGGGACAAAACUAGAGUACUUCGACAUACCUCCCAUCGAAUACUCUGGGUCCUGCGGAAAGGCUGGAUAGCCAAAACCUGAGGUUUGAGCGCCUCCCUGCGACUCUCCCAUACCUUCCUCAAAUCUGCCUAUACCCAUGCUAUCAUCUCUAGACUGGUCAAUCUCCAUAGCUUCCCUCCUUUCCUCUGAUCUUUCUCCUUUCGCUGUACCUCUUCUGCUCUCGUCUAUAGACCUUCUAGGGUCUAUUGACGUACCUUCCCUGCUAGAUCUCUGAGACCUUGCCCUUGGCAAUGCAGGAGGACGAGCAGUUGGUCUCUCACUUUCUGGUGGGACUCCAGUCAAUCGAGCUGAUCGACGAGUUCCUCUCAUCUUUACUCUGGAAAACAUCACAACAUAGAGCACUUUAGCACAUAAAACAUCACAGAUCAAUACUGCACAUGCAUACAUCAUGGCAUUAAACGGAUAGGACUCAACACCCUAUCCUAGUAGACAUGAAUUCCUAUUGUGCUUGACCACCUCUAGCCUCUAUGAGCCCGACACUGUCUCUAUAGGUCCGAUCAUGUGAACCUAGGGCUCUGAUACCAAUCUGUAACGACCCCAAAAUGGACCGUCACCGGCGCUAGGAUUCAGGUCAGCUUAAGGCCGCCAGAACCCGUAGCAAGCCUGCUAUACUCUCUGUGUACCUGUCAUACUCAUACAUGAUCAUACAUUUUCUGUGAAAAUAAAAACUCUUUGCUGAACCAAGGCUUAACCUGUGCAUGCACUAUCUCUGUACUUUGUACUCUGUACUCUGUACCCCUGACUAGAGCUUGCUCUAGAUGGGUAAUUCAUACCUGUUAAGCCUGGUUUUUCACAUACAAGAAAACAACUAUACAUAUACAGAUCAUGGACAACAUAAACAUCACUAAGUCAAGCACAUUUCUAACUUUAUACACAACUAUUACAUCUCUUUCAAAUUACAUGUCCACUCUACACUAUUACAAUUCUCUUUACUCUUUUUGGUACUCUGCUGAUCUCCUCUCUAUACUGUACACUGAACCUGCAAAACUGGGGUUAAGGGAGUGGGAUGAGCUCUAUAGCCCAGUGAGUAGAACAAUAAAACAUCUCAUUAAAAUAUGAACUCAUGGAAUGCGUCAUAACACAGACAAUCCACAUCAAGAGUAAACCUGUCACCACAUAGUCCCAGUAACUCUGUGCCAGGGCGUAGAAUCAAGCACCUGGUCUUCCUGUCAUAUAUGUAUAUGUGUAUAUAACACCUAUGUACUUACCAUUGCCAAGGCGUAGUCAAAGGCUCCUGGACUUUGCUAUACCUGCCAGGGCGUAGUCAAAGGCUCCUGGACUUCUCUAUACUUGCCAGGGCGUAGUCAAAGGCUCCUGGACUUCCUGUCUGUGACUAUUGGAUCAUUCAGCAUUUACCCACAUCAACAAAUAACUAUGCAAUGCAGCAUAUUCGUGGA
This 9221-nucleotide long non-coding RNA is filed under the name Manihot esculenta (cassava). Its description in RNAcentral is "long non-coding RNA (MESC_LNC001441)". The record is from RNAcentral. Lineage: Eukaryota; Viridiplantae; Streptophyta; Magnoliopsida; Malpighiales; Euphorbiaceae.